This 395-nucleotide ribosomal RNA is filed under the name uncultured bacterium. RNAcentral describes it as "bacterial SSU rRNA". It matches the Rfam family "Bacterial small subunit ribosomal RNA", at positions 402 to 809 of the family's 1533-position model. The record is from RNAcentral.
UGAGGGAUGACGGCCUUCGGGUUGUAAACCUCUUUCAGCAGGGAAGAAGCGAAAGUGACGGUACCUGCAGAAGAAGCGCCGGCUAACUACGUGCCAGCAGCCGCGGUAAUACGUAGGGCGCGAGCGUUGUCCGGAAUUAUUGGGCGUAAAGAGCUCGUAGGCGGCUUGUCACGUCGGUUGUGAAAGCCCGGGGCUUAACCCCGGGUCUGCAGUCGAUACGGGCAGGCUAGAGUUCGGUAGGGGAGAUCGGAAUUCCUGGUGUAGCGGUGAAAUGCGCAGAUAUCAGGAGGAACACCGGUGGCGAAGGCGGAUCUCUGGGCCGAUACUGACGCUGAGGAGCGAAAGCGUGGGGAGCGGACAGGAUUAGAUACCCUGGUAGUCCACGCCGUAAACGG